This is a long non-coding RNA of Equus caballus (horse), 2608 nucleotides long. NCBI's taxonomy places the organism in Eukaryota, Metazoa, Chordata, Mammalia, Perissodactyla, Equidae. The record is from Ensembl.
CUUAAAACUGGCAAGAGGCUUCUAAGAUUUAUACAUAUUUCAAAGGGGCAGAGAAAGAAUUUGCAAUUACAAGUUUUACAAAGUAAUUGCUCUGAGAAAAGGGAGGUCAGGGGCCUACAGUCAAGAAGAAACCUGUCUGAAGUUUAGUCAAGUGGCAACGGUAAUAUUAAGGCCUUCUUGGUCACCAUGGAGAACAAAGAAAAGGCUUAUUUUUCCCCCUAAGAUCUCAGCUUCUCCAAGUUAGAAAAUUCCUGUCUCAAAGAAUCUUUACAAGUAAAAAAAAAAAAAAACAAAAAAAAAAUAGUGAAGGAAAGAAGAAAGGAAGAAAGGAAACAGAGAGGAAAGGGUGCUUUUUCUGAGAAAUAAUAUCUUAGCUUUACACUUGCCCAGCACUGUUGCAGGCUGACAUCAUAAACAAGACACAGUUCCACCUUUCAAGUUCAAAGUCUAAUAGGGCAGACAAGAACCAAAAAUGGUAACACAAAGGGCAAACAUUAUAAGAGGCCUAUACAAAUGCAUUGGGAGGACAGUUAACAACAGCAGCUCACAUUUAUUAAGCACAUAUGUUCUAACAGCUUUGCGUUUAAUCCUCGCAAAACCCUUGACGUACUAGGAUUACCUCCAUUCUGAGAUGCAGAACUCGGGCUGAGAGAGGUUAAGUAAAAAUCACUCAAAAAUGCUCAAAAUCACGCCGCGUUUCAAACGAUGUAGCCGCAGUUCUAACUCGGGUACCGGUCCCUGAGCCUGCACUCCUAAAGAGAUACAAAGUCACCUGUCGCCGGGGGGCGCCCGACCAGGCUCCAUGGGCCGAAAAUGUGGGAGGAGAACCCAAGAAUUCUAUCCAUGGUCCCCACGCAACCCGCCUUCACAUCGCGGCCUGGCCCUCGGCUCCCUCACGUCUAAAGACGACGGCAUGUUUCCCGGCCCAGUUCGGAGCCGCAUCCCCAAUCUAGCCAGAAGGCCCUGGGCCCUGACCUGGUGACAACCGAGAGAGGAGCUGGGCGUGGUCUGCGCGGAGAAUCUGCGGCCAAUCCCCAGCCUCUCGGAUCGCCGCCAUGGCAACCAAUGAGCGCCUGCUCCUCUGUCCCCCGCCCGGGCCGGAUCGCACGAACGCGACCGCCUCUAGGAAACACCAGCUAUUCUGGGAGCCUCCGCGGCCGCCAGCCCCCGCUGGAGAUGCAGACCUUGGGCCUGGGAUACCCUCCCAGCAGAGUGGAACUGCUGAAACGCCGCGCCCCUUUGGCGGAGGACGGGAUGGGAUGGGAUGGGAUGGGGGCGGAGCAAGGCUGGAGGCAGGCCUGAGCGGAGAUCUUUGCCAAUCACUUCGAGUCACCUAGCUCCCAGCCUUGUCCACGGAUCCGUGGCCUAAUUCUUUCCACGUGAUAGACCCUUUUAACGAAUUGCAUAAUUGUUGGGCUUCUCUUCCCUCUUUUGGACAACGGCAGUGUUAUCUGAGCUUCCUUUCCUUUCCUGUUACCCACUUAAGGAGGCCUUCCCCGACCCCUCCCCUUUCUGGGUUUGCUAGACUUCUUUGAGUUCCCUUCAUAACCUAUGCGUUUUCCUGACGCUGAACUCUUUCUUAUUUUUCUGUCUUCUCCACUAGUCUGUAAUUCAUUUUUUAGUUCUUAGCACAGUCCCUGGCCAUAGGAGGUGUUCAAUAAAAUUUUAAGCAGAAUCCUGCUGUACUCCCCAAAUAAAAGCAAAGCUGUUCUGAUGGGAGAGGAGAGAGAGUGUCCAGAGCCCUGAACUCCCAAGGAAGUCCUUGAGGCACCUAUUGUUAGUGACUUCAGCUGAAAUAUUCAGUUUAAUAUACAGAAGUAUGCUUUACCCAGGACAUGAAAAUUAAACGUAUCUAGAGCCUCCAAGAGCACUCUUAAAAGUCUCAUCUUUUGGGACUUCCAAUCUGAUUACAUGCGUUUCUUUUUAUUUUCCAGUCUAAAGACCUAGAUAUCUGCUCGCAUCUUCAGAUCAAUCCCUCACCUUCUUCACCCAGCUCUGGGCUUGGAGGCUGACCCGCAGGGACCGUGUCAACAGUUUCCCUUACCUCUGGCUUUCUAUUGGGUUCGGCCAAUGAGAAGCAUAGGCAGAAGACCAGAGGGAAGUAGGAGUGUGAACUUAGGGAGUUUGAAAUUGGUAUGCUAUGGGAUGUGAGUCAUUUCUCCGCUGGAACAGGCAGACACUCAAGCUAGGCAGCAGUUGUCUUCUCCCAUGUAUGUGAAGAAGCAAAGAAAGAUGAUGGGCAGAGAGAAUAGGUUGAAGUCAGAGGACGGAGGAAAGCAGAGAGAGAAGACCAUGUUUCCAGAGAAAGACCCUGAGAUAGUGGCUGCCCUGUUUCGGUCAGCUUUGGAGGCCCAGUUGCUUUCUUGCUCUAGGGUUUUGUGGGAUAGCCUUGCAUCCUUAUAAUAAACUGUUUUUUCCUCACAACUAUUACAAAUGGGUUUCUAUGUCUUACAACCAAAAACGUUUUAACUGAGACAAUACCUACCUCAGCGUAGUUAUGAGGAGUAAAUGAGAUAAAGUAUUUCAGGCACCUAAAUCAGCACCUCCAAAAAUGUUACUUUCUCCCUUCCAGCUGUAAAUAGCACCCCAUAUGCCCUGAGCAUCAGAC